RNAcentral lists this microRNA precursor (154 nucleotides) under Amborella trichopoda. Its description in RNAcentral is "MIR8565 microRNA precursor family". It matches the Rfam family "MIR8565 microRNA precursor family". Lineage: Eukaryota; Viridiplantae; Streptophyta; Magnoliopsida; Amborellales; Amborellaceae. The record is from Rfam by way of RNAcentral.
CCCAUACUCUUGUGUGUAGGAUCCCAAAAGAUCACCAUUAAAUUUGAUAUAGAUCUCUAAAAAAAUUAUCACAUGGGUGUGGCACUUAACUUUUCUAGAGAUCUAUGUCAAAUUUAAUGGUGAUCAUUUGAAGUCCUACACACAGGGGUGUGGG